UACGGAGGGGGCAAGCGUUAUUCGGAAUUAUUGGGCGUAAAGGGCGCGUAGGCGGCUUUGUAAGUUAGAGGUGAAAGCCCGGAGCUCAACUCCGGAACUGCCUUUAAAACUGCAUCUCUUGAAUCCAGGAGAGGUGAGUGGAAUUCCGAGUGUAGAGGUGAAAUUCGUAGAUAUUCGGAAGAACACCAGUGGCGAAGGCGGCUCACUGGACUGGUAUUGACGCUGAGGUGCGAAAGCGUGGGGAGCAAACAGG
This 253-nucleotide ribosomal RNA is filed under the name uncultured bacterium. RNAcentral describes it as "partial 16S ribosomal RNA". It matches the Rfam family "Bacterial small subunit ribosomal RNA", at positions 524 to 776 of the family's 1533-position model. The record is from RNAcentral.